ACACUCCUGCGGGAGGCAGCAGUGGGGAAUUUUGGACAAUGGGCGAAAGCCUGAUCCAGCAAUGCCGCGUGAGUGAAGAAGGCCUUCGGGUUGUAAAGCUCUUUUGUCAGGGAAGAAACGGUGAAAGCUAAUAUCUUUUGCUAAUGACGGUACCUGAAGAAUAAGCACCGGCUAACUACGUGCCAGCAGCCGCGGUAAUACGUAGGGUGCAAGCGUUAAUCGGAAUUACUGGGCGUAAAGCGUGCGCAGGCGGUUUUGUAAGUCUGAUGUGAAAUCCCCGGGCUCAACCUGGGAAUUGCAUUGGAGACUGCAAGGCUAGAAUCUGACAGAGGGGGGUAGAAGUCCACGUGUAGCAGUGAAAUGCGUAGAUAUGUGGAGGAACACCGAUGGCGAAGGCAGCCCCCUGGGUCAAGAUUGACGCUCAUGCACGAAAGCGUGGGGAGCAAACAGGAUUAGAUACCCCGGUAGUCCCAUGAU
RNAcentral lists this ribosomal RNA (477 nucleotides) under uncultured organism. RNAcentral describes it as "partial 16S ribosomal RNA". It matches the Rfam family "Bacterial small subunit ribosomal RNA", at positions 333 to 801 of the family's 1533-position model. The record is from RNAcentral.